Sinocyclocheilus anshuiensis is the source of this 2856-nucleotide long non-coding RNA. The record is from Ensembl. NCBI's taxonomy places the organism in Eukaryota, Metazoa, Chordata, Actinopteri, Cypriniformes, Cyprinidae.
UUCCCAUAAUUAACAAGCCUCUGGAUAACACCAGUGCAGGCCCAUUAGGUGUUUCAGCAUGUUUACAGGGAAGUUUUAAUGGCAUCUGUGGAGACGAACUGAAAUGAACUUCCUGAUCGUGCAUUAAAGGGAUAAUAUGGAAGCCUGUUUCUGCCACAGGAUAAAAAAGCAGGAAUCGCUACAAUAAUGGAAAAAAAAAACGCAGAGGUGUUAGUAUGUGGCGCUUCAAUUAUGAAGGAUGUCUGGGAAAUCAGACUGAGGGAGUAUCGACAGAAAUGGCAGCUGGAAGAGGAGAGGAUACGGAAGAGUGCUCUGGAAAGUUUAACUUUUCAUAGAAUCAAUCAGGAUUGGCAGGUGCGCAUGUCCUCCAAGAUAAAAACCCCUAAAAGACUGGAGAGAAAAGCAAAGCUUCCUGAAGAAUCGACUCUUGAUGCGCACAAAGUUAAAAAGACGCAUCUUGGCAGGCCACGAGGCUUCCAGAGCAGUCGGAUUCAGAGGCAGGUGGACUCGACAAAAACAACCAAAGCCAAUAAACUGGCCCUGUUACGUCACCUCAGUGAAAGCUGCCUGGGGUUGAUGGUGUGGGCGAAGUCUUGGAAGUUCUCGCAACCUGAAGAAAUUCCCUGUGUAUUCGACUGGGGGCAAUCAUGGAAGUUUCUCAAUUUUCAGCCAAGCACUGAUGGAAAACCCUGGUUUGACCUUGGGUUUGAUGCAAGCAGCAAUAUGAGCUCCAAUGACACGUUUCUAUGGGAGAAACUCAGCAAAGCUUUAGACUCUGAACACAUUCAACAAGACUUAGUCACUCCAGAAUGGGAAAAGUCUUGGAUAUUCAGUCAGAAAAGAAAAGAGUGCCAUGAAAACACAAAUAAAAGUGAUUGCAACAAAUUUACCAUCAUGCAGGGGGAUCGAAAUGAGGAAAGUGCAUCAGACUGGAAUAAGUCCUGGAAGUCAACGAAGCCUGUAAAAGAAGAUGUUAAGUCUGAUUUAAUUCAGCCCACAGCUAAUGAGGGAAAACAACCUGAAUGAUCAUGGAAUCAUUCUUGGAUGCACUUUAAGAAGCAGCUUCAUGUGAAGUCUACAACUACAAAUAAUUCAGGUUGGAGUGAAUCUUGGAGAGUUGCAAAAACCACAUCAGAGAAGGAGAUGAAAUCAAUCCAGUCUCAAGCGAUGGCGCCUGAGGAGCUGCAUCCCGACAUCUGCAACGUGAUAAUGAAUGUGUCUAGAGAGAUGAAGCACGCAAUUCCAUGGAGCUUUCAGUUCAGUGGGAGGGAUGCACAGCUGUCAGAGUAGGAAAAAUCAUGGACGACCAUAAAAAAUUUGUCGGAGUAUAAAGAAGAGAUAAAUAAAGAGGUGGAAGUGAAGGUUGAGACAUUGAAACCACACGAUCAACAAAGUGAACAUGUCAAAUUUGACGUACUUUCUUUGCAAAAAGCCAGAAGCGACAAGAGGUGUGUCACUUCUCACAGCAAUUGGACUGGAUGCUGAAACACCAGCGUAGAGAAGAAAGAGCCUUGAGGAACUUUGCAGUUCUCACAAACUCUCACCGAAUGGACCGAUUCUUGGAGGUUCACCAACUUUACUCUCAAACAAGACGGCGGUUUAUGGCUGCAGGGUUGGUCCACCAGUGCUCAACCCAGACCUAUUAGAAGAGUACGAGAAAAUGAAGAUACCCCGCAUAAUGGACCAGCUGGGGUUCGCUCCUGGGCUGAGUCCUGGAGGUCUACGAGACGUCAGCAUCUUCUGGAAAGACAGGCGGCAGGUGCAUCAAUUGAGCCGGUAUGUCAACAUACGUAUGCAAGAUCCAUGGCACGAUCCUGGGAACAGUAGUGGAUGUCAUCAACUCAUCUGCGCCAUCAUGAUAGACCCUCCAUGACUGCAUGGACUGAUUCUUGGAGAAUCUUCUCCACCUUGGAGGAUCUUCUGCCUGAACAUACGUGGUUUGAGAAAUCGAUGGAAAUCAAAGGCAGAAAGGAAUUUUGCAAGGCAUAGAAUGCAUUUAGCUGAUCAUUUGAUUCUCAAACCUUCAAAGAACGAUAUCCUGCGAAUGAGUGUAAUGACUCGUGGAGGGUUAAGAAGAGGUUUGAUGGUCCUGGACUUGCAUAUCUUAUGAAAAAAGAAGUGCUAGAUUGGGAUAAUUCUUGGUUGUUCACCAGCACAGAGUUUUAUCAAAGUCAAGGUGAAUGUUAUUUUAAUUUUCACUUGACGUCUGAUGUCAAGAGCCAUGCGACGCUCAAAUCAGUCCAGAUCGAGAGCAGGUCAGAGUGGGGUCGAUCGUGGAAAAUGUCAAACCCACAACCACCAAAGAACAUGGAGAACGCCUCGUGGGUUGAUGCAAAGCCGAAGUCAUUCAAUGCACAAGACCUGAUUCUUUGGUCCAAACACAAACGCAUCUAUAAUUUACCUUCUGCUUCGCUCAAAGACUUGACUCAAGUCCUGGAGGUUCAUGAAGAUAGACCUUGACUCAAAGCACAGGAAAGAUGAGGGUGAAUCUGUGAUUAUGACAAACACUACAAAGAUAAGAAAGCAAAUGUACUCGGAUAUAGAUCAACAGAAACCACAACAGAAGCGAUGGAGUGAUGCAUGCAAAAUGGCGAAGACGCAACCAAGACCAAAGCGUAAUGUUAAAUCCAAAUCUGGCAAUGUGGAAGAUGAAGAAAUGUUAGCAGAAUGGAAGGAAUCUGGGAAAUUCUCGAGUAAUUUAAAAACUCAUGAGCCUGCAAUGGUGUCUGCAUCUCUGAGCUGCUGCAAAAACUCUUGGAAAUUUCUCCUUGAUCCGAAUAUACCAAUGAACGGCCCAAAAACUAGCAAGAGUUGGUAAGGAUUACAGACAUUGCAGGUCAGGUGUCAAGAGUAUGU